RNAcentral lists this long non-coding RNA (8282 nucleotides) under Malus domestica (apple). RNAcentral describes it as "long non-coding RNA (MDOM_LNC012133)". Lineage: Eukaryota; Viridiplantae; Streptophyta; Magnoliopsida; Rosales; Rosaceae. The record is from RNAcentral.
ACAUAAUCAUGGCUUUGAAAUCACCCCUAGCCAAAAGGGGUUUAGCCACUCAUAUUUACAACAAAAUGAAAGGAAAUGAAUUUAAACAUUAGAAACAAAAGAACGAAAACACCUAAAUGCUCCAACGAUCCAAGUUGGACAGGAAGCACGUCCAAGCAUUUUCCUUCCCUUCCUUUGCUACGACACAAGGUGUUGGUGAGUGUUUGAAGGUUUGUUUGUAUGGAGGAAUGGAUGUGACGAUGAAUGAAUGUGUUUGGGUGAAGGUUGUAUUGAAAUGGGGAUGAAUGAUUAAGCGAAAACUCCACGAAAUUUAUGUUACACACACUUCCUUUUAUAGAGGAAGUGCAUGGCAAUGGAGGGGAACAUGGAGUGGUGUAGCAAUUGAGUGCAAUGAUUCAAUGUAAUGAUGCAUGAAAUCUGAAAUGAUGGAGGGAACAAGGAAUGAUGUAGCAAUUGAGUGCAAUGAUUCAAUGUAAUGAUGCAUGAAAUCUGAAAUAAUGAAGGGGACAAUGGUGGUUAUGCAUGGCAUGGGUGAAAAGGUGAGUAAGUGAUGAAUCAAUGAGUGCAAGGAGGUGAAAGGAUAUUGUGCACAUGGUAGACAAAGGAAAGGAAGUGGAAUGAUGCAACAAAAGUCAAUGGAGGGAACAUGGAUGAUGAUGCACGGCAUAGGAAUCCAAAGGGAGUGCAAUGGUGGUGCACGACAAUGAUGGAAAGGUGAAUGGUGGAGUGACACCCCUUUGUGGCUGAGCUCUUUGUCUUUUUUACAUUAAUUCUUCUUUCUUUUUAACACAUUCCUAGCCUCUUUAGUCUUCAAUUUCGUCCAUCCACCUUGCUCCAUGCAUGUGCUAUUCAUUCCAAGCCCAAAACUGCUUCAAAAUGCACCAAAAUGCAUCUUAUUACUUUAUAAGGCCUAUGGACCUACAAACACACGAAAAUAGCUUAAAAUACAUAAUUAACUAAGAAAUAACAACAUAAAUGCAUGAGAACAAGCUAACUCAGCCGCAUAAAUAUGCUCCUAUCAAAUUCCCUCACACAGCUUUUGCUAGUCCUCGAGCAAAACAAAACAAACAAAACAAACAAAACACAACCUAGAUCUUCCAACAUUUGCCUCAGGGAUUUUUAAUGAAACAUGACAUGUUAAAAAUCAUCAUUCCCACAGAUUUUGGUCAUCUUUACACUUGAGCACAUACUUAAUCAUAGUCACCACUUACUAGUUCACAAUUAACCAAUUAAAACAAUGUUUUGAAUGUAGUAACAUGCCUUAGAGAAUUUUCUCAAUUCCUUACAAGAUACUCUCUAUUUUCGCACACAUUUUCUGACUACACACCCUACACUAGUAUAUGUGAGAAGAUUGAUGUAAACACGAAAGACUAGGACUCACAUAUGUUAUAACAAAAAAAAAAGCAAUUUUCUGGAGUUAUUAAGCAUGUUUAGAUAUGAUCUCAUGAAUGGAAUGCUACUACUUAGAUGCGAGAACCAGCGACACCAUAUGCUCAUACCAAUUUCGAACUCCACAAAUUGAAGCACACAACACUCAAGAUUGAAGUCAAGGGUUGUAACAAGGCUUGGGGGUAAUGGCUAACAAAGAAAGGAUAGGGAUAACAAACGUUCUUAAAGCGAUAGCAAGCAAAGCAAUGAAAUAGACACUUGGAAAUCACUUUAGAAUGCAAAAUCAACUUUUAAAUGCAAAUGGAAGAUUCAUGCAACACUUAGGGCCGAAUUCAAUGUUUUGAACCCUUUCUUUAACAAACAACACUUUAGAGCUCAUUUUCAUACUUUUUUUUUCAAUUCUUUUAUUUUAUUUUAUUUAUUUUAUUUUCUUUUUUCAUAUAUUUUUUUUCUUUUCUACCUGUGCCUUAUUAAGGACUUUGGCACACACACACAUACAAGAAUCACUUCCCCCACACUUGCUUUAUGUAAUACAUUGAUAAAAAAAAGAGUUCAUUUUAAGUCAUGCUUUACUAUGCUUCAAGAAUAAGGGUAUGGAUGGUCCUAAAACUAGGCUAGGUAAGGAUAGUGUGGAUUAACAAAGAAUAUAGGCUUAACAAGGUUCAACGGGGUUAAACUUAAACACAUAAUGAAAUAGGAUAGGCUUUUUGGCUCUUGGCUCACUAAACAACUUCAUCUUGAAUAUGUGUUAUGCAAAUCAAUAAGAUGCUUUGAAUGAAAUAGGCAUGAGUUCUAGCAUUUUGAACUAAAUGAUGAAACACCUUCUAAGUAGCAACCAAGCAAAGAAUAAUGAGAUCAUGCAAUGACUUUAGAAAACAACAAUGCACAGAUUAUUAACUCUCCAAAUAAAGGUUUUAGGCUCAAGUCUCACAAGGUUGUAGCGUUACUUUGAGUUCCUUCCUUCAAGCAUGUUUCAAACUGAUUUUUUCCUUUAUGAUUGCAUGUGAAUUCAUAAAUUAUAAUCACAACCAAGCAUACACCAAAGAGUAAAUCAAUUUUCAUCCAUGUUUAUAACUCUCUUUAACAGUCAUGUAAUUAAAAAUCAAAUCAUCAUCAUUGUGUUGGAAGGUACCCUAAGACACAAAUAAACACACAAAAACAACUCUUUUUGGGUUUUUCAAAACAAUUUUUCAAAUUUUUAUGAGAUUUUCGGAUUUUUAUGUCAAAACACACUAAAACACUCCAAAACAGCUUAAAAACACUUAAAACAGCAAGGAACAACACUAGAAGUAAUAGGUGAUAAACUCCUACGAAUUUCAUGCAAAACCACUUGGUUACCCCCCCCCCCACACUUAAAUCAAACAUUGUCCUCAAUGUUUCAAGCAUAAACUCAUACAAAAACAAGCAAACAAACAAACAAAGAAUAAACAUGACAAGUAUAGCAAAGUAAAAACCAGACAUAGUAGAGUUUAAGAAUGCAAAUCUGGUUUUGGAGAUAGAUGAUCUUGUUGACUUUCCAUAGCUUUGAUCUCGAACUAGUUUGGAAUUCUGAGCGAGGAAUAUCAGAGUUCCUUGGUUUCAAAUCAGACUCCUUCUGCUGGGUUGAUUUGAUUGUGCAAUCUGCAUUCUUCUCUGCUUGUUUCUUCUGCACGGCAGGCAGACAUGAGGUAGAGGUGAUGGUCUGUUUCUUUUUUCAAUCUUUCCAAGUGCCCACAAUUUCCUUUCUUUCUCCUUGUCCCUAGCUGAGGAUGAAUUAGCACAUUGUCUCCACAUGCUUCGAGGUAUCAUUUUCACUUCCCUUAUCUGUUCCCCAGACGAAGAGGAAGCAUAAGAUGUUGAAGAUGAGUACUCGAGAGCAAGGCUAGGUAAGCAAUCAGGAAGGGGUUCCAGGUAGUCGGUUCCAGAUCGGAAGAUUGAUACCAAGUGCUGGCUGAUUGCUCUCUUUCUCAUUGUCUCGCAGAUGAAAACAACGACAAGGAGAAGGAUAGGGAGAAAACAUGAUAUGAGAUACUCUUACUUUCAACCUUCAUGAUAUGAAAUACUUUUGCUUUGGAUGAGUUGUUUGCAGAGGUACCCAAAGGAAUAAGGAACACUAGUGACUCGAGAGGCUUCGUUGGGAAGGCAUUCUCAGAGAUGAAGAAAGGUUAUGUAUGUCUGCCUUGCAAUGGAGGGUGAAGGUUGACAUUUAUAGGAAUUAAUAACCGAUACUAUUCUUUCACUCUUGUCGGAAACUGUUGGAUGAUUUAACAAUAAACUUCACGUGCCUUCUACUUCACAAGAAAUCUUAGACAAAUUUCCCGUAAUUUCCGCAAGGCUGAGUGUGCAUAUGACAGGCGCUAACACGUCUGGAAAAGCAAGUGCCUCUUCGAUAUCUGGAAUCAGCGCUUCGACAAAUUGCCCGUGAUUUCCACAAAGCUGAGUGUGCAUGUGACAGGCGCUGACACGUCUGGAGAAGCAAGUGCCUCUUCGAUAUCUGGAAUCGGUGCUUCGACAAACUACUCGUGAUUUUUGCAAAGCUGAGUGUGCAUGUGACAGAUGCUGACACGUCCGGAAAAGCAGAUGCCUCUUCGAGUUCUGAGCUCCGUCGAGUGCACAGGUUGCAUGUGACAAGUACGGAAAAAUCUGGAAAAGAAGAUUGGCCCGUGGUUUCUGAGCAAGCCCAGCUUUUGAGAAAGCUAGCGCCUCUUCGAUUUUUGAAUUGGCCUUUUCGAUUUCUGAGCUCGCCUCUUCGAUCUCUGAAAUCUCGUCGAGUGCUGGUUUUUAUAGAGGUGCGUAGUACAUUUCAAAGCACACUUGAAUUUCUGCCUGUAGAAACUCCCUUCUUGCACUUCUACGAUUUUGACUUGUCUGACCUCUUAUUUCUUCAACACCUUUGAAAAUGUCUGGUCCCUCUGACCGUCGUUUUGACUUGAACCUUGGUGAAGAGGCAACCAUGCAUUAUCCAGACAACAUACGGCGCCCAUCCUUCAUAUCCCUUACUGGUCCUCUUACCGUUGGGGAUUCGGUGAUGAAGAAUGAUAUGACCGUUGCAGUGGUGGCCCGGAACCUUGUCACUCCCAAAGAUAACAGACUACUUUCCAAACUGUCUGAUGAGUUGGCUGUUAAGGAUUCUCUGGCUCUCAGUGUGCAGUGUGCAGGUUCUGUGUCUAAUAUGGCCCAACAUCUAUUUGCUCGAACCCGUCAAAUUGAAUCAUUGGGGCUGAAGUGAUGAGUCUCAAACAAGAGAUUAGAGGGCUCAAGCAUGAGAAUAAACAGUUGCACAGGCUUGCACACAACUAUGCUACAAACAUGAAGAGGAAGAUUGACCAGAUGCAGGAAUCUGAUGGUCAGAUUUUACUUGAUCAUCAGAGGUUUGUGGGUUUGUUCCAACAACAUUUGCCUUCGUCUUUUGGGGCUGUACCGCGUAGUGAAGCUCCAAAUGAUCAACCUUCGAUACCUCAUUCUUCUGUGGCUCCGCCUACUGCUGAGACUCCGCCGACUACAGAGACUUCUCCUAAGCAGCCUUUGUGAAGGCUCCCUCUGUAUUUUUCUGCCUUUUGUUCAUUUUCAACGAAUUUUAAUGUAAAAAUACCUUGCAUAUCUAUCAAUGUUUCAAAAAUAAACCCACACCAAAAACAAUUAAACAAGUAACAAAUAAAAAUGACAAUCAUGGCAAAAUAAAAAUGCAGAAAAUGGAAGGUUUUUAGAAACGCAAAACUGAUUGUGGAGCGAUUCAAAGAUCUUCAUUUUUUUGAAUACAUGGGUUGCCUUCCAAGAAGCGCUUGCUUUAACGUCUUCCAGCCGGACGAAACUUCCUUCUAAGCUUGGAUAGGGCCUAUAACAUGGAAUUGAUCCUUAAAUGGAAGGUGAUACUUGACGUGAUCUGGCAAUGGUUUAAAUUCUAGUGUAGGUGUCUGAAUCAUCAAAAUCAGCAAGUUUGUAUAAAAUAAAAUCAAAGUUGGAAAAGAUGGCUUACUUGCUUGCUCCGACACAAACUCAAUUUCGAACACCAUAUCUUUGAAGGUUGCAGGGAUAUAGGACUUGGCCAGAUUUGGUGUUUUGAGAGUUAUGACUUGUCCCGUGUCAUAAAAUCCAACUUUUUUGGAAUUUUUCGUCUCAAGUGUAUCUUCUUUGAUGAAUUCUAGACAUUCCCCAUCCACUUCUUGCUCUUGAUUCUUUGGAAAGGUUUCGAAGAUGCCUUUCUCACCCUCUUCUUCCUUGGAUUGCUUGAUCCUGCAAGGAAUAAGGACAUUUGGUGAAACGGGGUCAAGACGAAUUGAAUUUAGGCUUACCUUGGUUGUAGUGGACGGCAUAGAGGGCAUAUGAGGCUGCAGCAAGGGUGGUUCUUCCCUUGCCAUGGCCUUGUUAUUCUCCUCUUCUUUGAGCAUUAGUUGUUCAACCAUGUUUUGUCUUGGUUUAGAUGUCUUGGGUUCACCUCUAACCUCCAUAGCACUUCCCAAAGUGAUAGCAUCAUGGAUUUCAAAAUCUUCCUUCAAAUUUUCAAUAGUUGAGUUGGAGAGUUCACUUUGCUCUUGAAUUUGUGCCAUGAACUCCAUAAUCUCUCCAAGUUGAUUUUUCAAUUCGCUCAUCUCCUUAGCUUGAUUGAGCAUUGUUUCAUUUUGAUUUUGCUGCCCUUGCACCAAAGAGGUUAGUAAUUGAAAAAUUGAUCACUAUCCGUGGACAUACUUGAAUUUGAUUGGAUUUGUUGUAGGGGAAGCUGUGGUGGCUGCAUAGGUGUUAAAUAAAACUCCUCAGACUGCUGCCAAUAUCCAUCUUGUUGAGCCUCCUUGGUUUGAUUUUGUGAGCCCUGCACCAAAGAAUUUAUUUCAUAAAAAAUUCGAUCAUAAUCUAUUGACGAACCUGAGUGUGAUUGAGCAUAUUGUAUAUGAGGUUGUGAUGGUUGCAUAGGUCUUGAAUGGAACUCCUUUUCUUGCUGCCAAUAUACAUCUUGUUGGAAUUGUUGAGGUUCUAUGUAAUAUGAAUAAUCUCUCCAAUUCGAAUUGUAAGUGUUGGAAAACAUGUUGUCCCAUGAUUGGCUAUGACCUUGAUAACCCCAAGCAUCUUCAUUCGCAGCGAAUUGAGAAUAUUGCUGAGUUGGAUAUCCUUGCCCAUAGGACACACCACAUGUAGGGACACUUUGCAUUGUGGUCCUUUCGGCAUAUUGUGACAAUUGAGAAGUAAGUUCCGCCAAUUGAGCUUGAAUGGUAGCAAAAUCCAUGUCUUACUUCUGUAGUACCUGAAAUUAAGGAAAAAUAACUAAAUCAAAUAUCAAAAGUAAAACAAAAAAAAAAAAAAAAAAAACACAAACAGAAACAAAAUCAGUAACUAAAAAAAAAAGACACGAAAAUAAACAAAAAGAAAUAACAAAGGAUUAACAAAGUUGCUAAUCCCCGGCAACGGCGCCAAAAACUUGAUGCGAAAAUGAUCUUAACACACAAAUUUAACCCUCUUUUGACAAUUGUAGUACAAGUAUAAGUAGGGAUCGUUCUGGACCGGGGAUUAGGAGGGCUUGCUAAUAACCUCUAAACUAACUCAAAAACAUAAAACUAAACUUAAAAACACUUAACAAGACUCACAAGACUCAAAGCAAACUUAAAAUACUCAAAACAGCUUAAAGAAACCAAAUAAACUUAAACUAGACACUAGGAAUGACUUUGGACGAAAAUUGACUACUAAAACAGAUUUGAAACACUUUGAAACAAGAAACUAAAAGGGGAGUUUUGAUUUGGAUGAAGUUGAAACAAACAAACAAGUAUGAAAAACUAGACAGAUUGUAAAACAAAUUUGAGAAAUAAGAUUAUGGAUGCGAUAGCUAGAGACUUUUUCUCCACACAUGACAUGUAUGCAAAUAACUUGAUUUUCAGUUACUACUUCAUUGAAUUAUGAACGACAAUGCACCAAAUUAACCGUGACAUCACUAGUUAACUCUCAGAUUUUCCUUGUUUUAUUGGAUUGGAUGACAUCAUUCGACAACCCAAAACAUUCUUCAAAAGUUCCCUACAUGACAUCAUAAUAGAGAUACAAUCAAAGAUCAUUACGUUUAAUGAAAAUCAUAAGCAUUGACAAAGCACUUGCAACUAUGACAUCAUGUCACUCAUGCUAGAAUUAAACUUAACGCGAUCGUUUAUAAGCGACCUCCACUACUUAUGAAUAUAAGUUUGUAACGAUUAUGUGAAACUUUCUUAUAUUCUAGCAUCGGAUUUAUGCAUGCCAAUUAAGUGUCGACCCUUAAUCAACAAAUACAAAUAAGUUAUCAAUCAAAUAGUUAAGCCAAUUGCAUUCACGAUUCAAGAGUUCAUAACUGGAAUUUAUCAAAUUAUAUUGCACACAUAAUCAUGGCUUUGAAAUCACCCAUAGCCAAGAGGGGUUUAGCCACUCAUAUUUACAACAAAACGAAACGAAAUGAAUUUAAACAUUAGAAACAAAAGAAAGAAAACACCUAAAUGCUCUAACGAUCCAAGUUGGACAGCAAGCACGUCCAAGCACUUUCCUUUCCUUCCCUUCCUUUGCUACGACACAAGGUGUUGGUGAGUGUUUGAAGGUUUGUUUGUAUGGAGGAAUGGAUGUGAAGAUGAAUGAAUGUGUUUGGGUGAAUGUUGUAUUGAAAUGGGGAUGAAUGAUCAAGCGAAAACUCCACGAAAUUUAUGUUACAGACUUCCUUUUAUAGAGGAAGUGCAUGGCAAUGGAGGGGAACAUGGAGUGGUGUAGCAAUUGAGUGUAAUGAUUUAAUGUAAUGAUGCAUGAAAUCUUAAAUGAUGGAGGGAACAAGGAAUGGUGUAGCAAUUGAGUGCAAUAAUUCAAUGUAAUGAUGCAUGAAAUCUGAAAUAAUGAAGGGGACAAGGGUGGUUAUGCAUGGCAUGGGUGGAAAGGUGAGUAAGUGGUGAAUCAAUAAGUGCAAGGAGGUGAAAGGAUAU